Molecule: transfer RNA, 89 nt
Filed under: Lentzea flava
Lineage: Bacteria; Bacillati; Actinomycetota; Actinomycetes; Pseudonocardiales; Pseudonocardiaceae
Description: tRNA-Lys
Source: RNAcentral
CGGCGGCGUUGAUCGGCUUGGUCGGCGCCUUCUUCUGGGGCUGGUUCUGGGGCAGCGGGGGCUGCGGCGUGCGAGCCACCGGCUGCGGU